This 261-nucleotide unclassified non-coding RNA is filed under the name uncultured fungus. Its description in RNAcentral is "sequence contains ITS1". The record is from RNAcentral. Lineage: Eukaryota; Fungi.
GUAUAAACUUAAAGGGCCAAUAAAGUCCCAAUAAAACAUUCUAAAACAUACUAUAACAGGUUUAUGAAAACAUAGAAAGCCCUUUUCCAAGUCAACUUUGUACAAGACAAGUUAACCCUUUAAAGACCUCCUACAAUAAAUGCACAGGUGGAUGAAUAGAUUAGAAAUGGUACGUGCACAUACCUCACAUAUUAUAAGGCCAGCAACAGUACUAUUUCCAAAGUUUCAAUAAUGAUCCUUCCGCAGGUUCACCUACGGAAA